Molecule: ribosomal RNA, 373 nt
Filed under: uncultured organism
Description: bacterial SSU rRNA
Rfam family: Bacterial small subunit ribosomal RNA
Source: RNAcentral
CGGGGGGGGCAAGCGUUGUUCGGAAUUACUGGGCGUAAAGGGCGCGUAGGCGGCCUGCUAAGUCACACGUGAAAUCCCUCGGCUUAACCGGGGAACUGCGUGUGAUACUGGCGGGCUUGAAUUUCGGGAGAGGGAUGUGGAAUUCCAGGUGUAGCGGUGAAAUGCGUAGAUAUCUGGAGGAACACCGGUGGCGAAGGCGGCAUCCUGGACCGAGAUUGACGCUGAGGCGCGAAAGCUAGGGGAGCAAACGGGAUUAGAUACCCCGGUAGUCCUAGCCCUAAACGAUGAGUGCUUGGUGUGGCGGGUAUCGAUCCCUGCCGUGCCGAAGCUAACGCAUUAAGCACUCCGCCUGGGGAGUACGGUCGCAAGGCUG